UACGUAGGGUGCAAGCGUUGUCCGGAAUUAUUGGGCGUAAAGAGCGUGUAGGCGGCCAGGUAGGUCUGCUGUGAAAACUCGAGGCUCAACCUCGAGACGCCGGUGGAAACCGUAAGGCUAGAGUCCGGAAGAGGAGAGUGGAAUUCCUGGUGUAGCGGUGAAAUGCGCAGAUAUCAGGAAGAACACCCGUGGCGAAGGCGGCUCUCUGGGACGGUACUGACGCUGAGACGCGAAAGCGUGGGGAGCGAACAGG
Molecule: ribosomal RNA, 253 nt
Filed under: uncultured bacterium
Lineage: Bacteria
Description: partial 16S ribosomal RNA
Rfam family: Bacterial small subunit ribosomal RNA
Source: RNAcentral